UACCAUUCCAAUAAUCUGCCACUGAUUACCUGACUGACACACCAAUGGUGCACCUCCAUCUCCCUAUGAAAUUGUAUAUUAUAUGUCUAAUGAUUUUAAUUAUUAUGCAAUGAAACUGGUACUGAAGUAGGAAGACAUACAGUAUUAAUAUUUGGACUACUUGCAAUAGAAACAAAUGUAAUGUCACACUUACAAGUAAGGAGUUACUUUAUGUGCCACAGUAAGAACAUGAUUGGCAUUAAUAAGAGCUCCUGAUCCAAUAUAUGAAUUACUUGAUGUUAAAAGUGCUGCUUGCCAAGGAUAUUCUCC
This is a long non-coding RNA of Vespa crabro (European hornet), 309 nucleotides long. RefSeq lists it as uncharacterized. NCBI's taxonomy places the organism in Eukaryota, Metazoa, Arthropoda, Insecta, Hymenoptera, Vespidae. The transcript is spliced from 3 exons. The record is from RefSeq and is a predicted model, not a curated record.